This 496-nucleotide ribosomal RNA is filed under the name uncultured bacterium. RNAcentral describes it as "partial 16S ribosomal RNA". It matches the Rfam family "Bacterial small subunit ribosomal RNA", at positions 29 to 507 of the family's 1533-position model. The record is from RNAcentral.
ACGAACGCUGGCGGCGUGCCUAAUACAUGCAAGUUGAGCGAUGAAGAUUGGUGCUUGCACCAAUUUGAAGAGCAGCGAACGGGUGAGUAACGCGUGGGGAAUCUGCCUUUGAGCGGGGGACAACAUUUGGAAACGAAUGCUAAUACCGCAUAACAACUUUAAACAUAAGUUUUAAGUUUGAAAGAUGCAAUUGCAUCACUCAAAGAUGAUCCCGCGUUGUAUUAGCUAGUUGGUGAGGUAAAGGCUCACCAAGGCGAUGAUACAUAGCCGACCUGAGAGGGUGAUCGGCCACAUUGGGACUGAGACACGGCCCAAACUCCUACGGGAGGCAGCAGUAGGGAAUCUUCGGAAAUGGACGAAAGUCUGACCGAGCAACGCCGCGUGAGUGAAGAAGGUUUUCGGAUCGUAAAACUCUGUUGGUAGAGAAGAACGUUGGUGAGAGUGGAAAGCUCAUCAAGUGACGGUAACUACCCAGAAAGGGACGGCUAACUACGUG